This is a long non-coding RNA of Ahaetulla prasina, 1034 nucleotides long. RefSeq lists it as uncharacterized. NCBI's taxonomy places the organism in Eukaryota, Metazoa, Chordata, Lepidosauria, Squamata, Colubridae. The transcript has 3 exons. The record is from RefSeq and is a predicted model, not a curated record.
CUAUUAUACAGCUCGAUUCCCAUGGGUUUCUUCACACGUGACUAGGAAGCUAGAAAGAGCAAAGAAAACAGGCCAUUUGGUGCCACCCAUAUUCUAAGAAUGUUUUUUUGCAUGGAUUACAAGGACUUGAAGCUCAGAAAUAUGCACACAUUCGCACUUCCUUUUUUGCAGAUUCCUCGCUCAGCGCUCACUUUGGGAUUUUUUUGGAAUCGGAAUGUCCAAAAUCUGAAUUCAACUUGUGAAAUAACUGCUACAGUCAACUGCAGUUGAAUCAAAACCCUGCCAACCUUAGAAAAUAGCUCUGGCAGAUAAUGCUGUUGCAUUUGGAUGGUGAUGAGCAUGCCAGUGACAGCAAGUGAGAUGGCAAACAAAGGGAAAGGGUAAGGCGGGGAGAAGGAUAAGAAUGAAAGAAACGAAGAGGAGGAGGAGGAGAGCAAUAGAAGUAGCUGAAAAGAGGAGGAGAAGCGCAAUAGAAGUAGCUGAGAGUUGUGAGAUAAAUGCAAAUAUAUAUAGGCAUGCAUAAAUGAAGAGAAGCUGUGUUUUCAGCAAUGUUCCCUGGUUCUAAAGUUUUAUGCACUUUGCUAGUGGAAAUAAACUGAACAGACUCACAUGUCACUAUGCAUUAGGUGAGCCCAUGUGCCUUACUUAGAGCCCUUUUGCAUAUGUUAGAGCUAAACCACUCUGCAUCUCACAUAAAUAAGGAGAUCAACUGAACCGUAAGUGAGGUGAACAUUUAUUUAUUAUAAAUAAAUUUGGGGAAGCCUCCUGAUGGCUCUGUUAAUUCACUUCAGUUAAUUCACUUCAGAAACAGAGGGGCUUACUACCAGGCCUUCAGAGAAAGAACAGGAAUCAUCUUUAAAGAAUGGUAGAAAGAAAAGAGGAGAAGGAAUAUGCAAGAAAAUUAUUAACAACUCUGUUAAUAUGUGUACGCCACUAAUGGGCAACGAUACUAGUAAAAUCAUUACAGCUUCCGAUCUAGUCACGCCACGGGUCUCCUAACAUUGCCAUAUUAAAGCUUCAUGAAAUCUCAGGUC